AGCGAACGCUGGCGGCAGGCCUAACACAUGCAAGUCGAACGAACUCUUCGGAGUUAGUGGCGGACGGGUGAGUAACACGUGGGAACGUGCCUUUAGGUUCGGAAUAACUCAGGGAAACUUGUGCUAAUACCGAAUGUGCCCUUCGGGGGAAAGAUUUAUCGCCUUUAGAGCGGCCCGCGUCUGAUUAGCUAGUUGGUGAGGUAAAGGCUCACCAAGGCGACGAGCAGUAGCUGGUCUGAGAGGAUGAUCAGCCACAUUGGGACUGAGACACGGCCCAAACUCCUACGAGAGGCAGCAGUGGGGAAUCUUGCGCAAUGGGCGAAAGACUGACGCAGCCAUGCCGCGUGAAUGAUGAAGGUCUUAGGAUUGUAAAAUUCUUUCACCGGGGACGAUAAUGACGGUACCCGGAGAAGAAGCCCCGGCUAACUUCGUG
RNAcentral lists this ribosomal RNA (433 nucleotides) under uncultured bacterium. Its description in RNAcentral is "partial 16S ribosomal RNA". It matches the Rfam family "Bacterial small subunit ribosomal RNA", at positions 29 to 507 of the family's 1533-position model. The record is from RNAcentral.